This 490-nucleotide ribosomal RNA is filed under the name uncultured bacterium. RNAcentral's name for it is "partial 16S ribosomal RNA". It matches the Rfam family "Bacterial small subunit ribosomal RNA", at positions 899 to 1397 of the family's 1533-position model. The record is from RNAcentral.
ACUCAAAUGAAUUGACGGGGGCCCGCACAAGCGGUGGAGCGUGUGGUUUAAUUCGACGCUAAGCGAAGAACCUUACCAGGGUUUGACAUCCCAGUCGUACUGCUUGGAAACAAGCAGGUCAGUUCGGCUGGACUGGUGACAGGUGCUGCAUGGUCGUCGUCAGCUCGUGUCGUGAGAUGUUGGGUUAAGUCCCGCAACGAGCGCAACCCUUGUCGUGUGUUGUAUUUUUCACGCGAGACUGCCUCGGUCAACGAGGAGGAAGGUGGGGAUGAUGUCAGAUCAGCAUGGCCCUUAUACCCUGGGCGACACACGCGCUACAAUGGCCGAUACAAUGGGUUUGCGAAACCGCAAGGUGAAGCUAAUCCCAUCAAAGUCGGUCCCAGUUCGAAUUGGAGGCUGCAACUCGCCUCCAUGAAGCCGGAAUCGCUAGUAAUCGCGGAUCAGCCAUGCCGCGGUGAAUACGUUCUCGGGCCUUGUACACACCGCCCGU